This 468-nucleotide ribosomal RNA is filed under the name uncultured bacterium. RNAcentral's name for it is "partial 16S ribosomal RNA". It matches the Rfam family "Bacterial small subunit ribosomal RNA", at positions 28 to 507 of the family's 1533-position model. The record is from RNAcentral.
GACGAACGCUGGCGGCGUGCUUAACACAUGCAAGUCGAACGGAAAGGCCCUGCUUUUGUGGGGUGCUCGAGUGGCGAACGGGUGAGUAACACGUGAGUAACCUGCCCUUGACUUUGGGAUAACUUCAGGAAACUGGGGCUAAUACCGGAUAGGAGCUCCUGCUGCAUGGUGGGGGUUGGAAAGUUUCGGCGGUUGGGGAUGGACUCGCGGCUUAUCAGCUUGUUGGUGGGGUAGUGGCUUACCAAGGCUUUGACGGGUAGCCGGCCUGAGAGGGUGACCGGCCACAUUGGGACUGAGAUACGGCCCAGACUCCUACGGGAGGCAGCAGUGGGGAAUAUUGCACAAUGGGCGGAAGCCUGAUGCAGCAACGCCGCGUGCGGGACGACGGCCUUCGAGUUGUAAACCGCUUUCGCCUGUGACGAAGCGUGAGUGACGGUAAUGGGUAAAGAAGCACCGGCUAACUACGUG